RNAcentral lists this ribosomal RNA (274 nucleotides) under Maritrema eroliae. RNAcentral describes it as "partial 5.8S ribosomal RNA". The record is from RNAcentral. Lineage: Eukaryota; Metazoa; Platyhelminthes; Trematoda; Plagiorchiida; Microphallidae.
CAGUGCUAGGCUUAAAGAGUGGUGUCCAGGCUACGGCCGGCCCAUCGCCCUGUGUUUUGUUUCUCCCAUUUUUACACUGUUUAAGUGGCUCGAAUCGGUUCUACCGGUUCGUUCCAUUGCCUCAACAUGCACCCGGUCUUGCAAUCGGACUGUAUGUGCAGUCGCCUGGCGGUGCCUUAUCCCGGGCUGGACUGAGAAACUAUCUCGGGUUUUCGGUCAUGUGCCGGAUUCUCGGGUUUUGUACAACUCUGAUCGGUGGAUCACUCGGCUCGUG